UAGGGAAUAUUGGGCAAUGGAAGCAAUUCUGACCCAGCCAUGCCGCGUGAAGGAAUACAGCCCUAUGGGUUUUAAACUUCUUUUAUUAUAGAGCAACCGGAGGUACGUGUACCUCCCUGCAAGUAUAUGAUGAAUAAGGAUCGGCUAACUCCGUGCCAGCAGCCGCGGUAAUACGGGGGGGACGAGCGUUGUUCGGAUUUACUGGGCGUAGAGGGCGCGUAGGCGGACCUCUAAGUCGGGUGUGAAAACUGUUGGCUUAACUGACAGCCUGCACUCGAUACUGGAGGCCUUGAGUACGGAAGAGGAGAGUGGAAUUCCAGGUGUAGCGGUGGAAUGCGUAGAUAUCUGGAAGAACACCAGUAGCGAAGGCGGCUCUCUGGUCCGAUACUGACGCUCAAGCGCGAAGGCUUGGGGAGCAAACA
Molecule: ribosomal RNA, 422 nt
Filed under: uncultured prokaryote
Description: bacterial SSU rRNA
Rfam family: Bacterial small subunit ribosomal RNA
Source: RNAcentral